This 1293-nucleotide long non-coding RNA is filed under the name Cyanistes caeruleus (blue tit). RNAcentral's name for it is "lncRNA (ENSCCEG00000020304.1)". The record is from RNAcentral. Lineage: Eukaryota; Metazoa; Chordata; Aves; Passeriformes; Paridae.
UACAUGUUAUUCUCUGCCUCUUGCAGAGUAGAUGAAAGGGUUUCCUAGUCAGGAAUUCCCCAGCACAGUAUUUGUCUCAGGAGUGAACAAUAUCACAAACUUAAGGAAAAACUAAGAGCCAGGCUGCUGAAGCAUGUUUGAGGCAGAAUCAUUCAGAUGUUGAAUGAAGAAGAUUUAUCUUACUCUAGGCAACUAAAGGGUCCCUAACUGAAGAAUACAGUAAUUUAAAAAGUCUCAUUGGGGCUGGCAUACCAUCAUGUCAGAUGUCAGGAAAAGCAGGAAGAAGGCUUCUCUAAGAAGAGAUAAGUCAGGAAGCCAUGGAUAUCCUGAUUGAGGGGGCACAGUUCUGCAGCAUCUGGAAGGAGCAGAAGUGGUGACAGCCAGAAGCUUUUUGGAACAGUUGGGGGAAGCUGGGAAAGCCCAGUCUCUGUGUGAAAGCAGCAAAGAACGGUAUCCUCUGGAGGAAAAAAAGAGGGAAAAUGAGUAUUUAGGGUAAGUGCCUGCAGCUGCAGGCACUGUUGCUCUGUCUGUUGUGUUGCUGCAUGUGAGGAAGCAGCUGGGAUCAUAGUGGGGGUCACCCAGCACAGCCAGCUGGGUCCCCUGCCAGUGCCACCACCUGUUCCUUUAGCUGUGUCCCCACAGCUAAAGAGGGGCUCAGCAUAAGCCUUCUCCAGGAGGCUGUGGCUGAGACAACAGUCCCUGAGGCACCUGCAGCCCUGGGAAAGAAAGAAGAAGACAAUCUCAAGAUGAAUGAGUUGUCUGGACAAUAGCCACGUGGAGUGCAGUCAGCAGAACUGAACAGUAAUGGGGGAAAAAACAGAGUGAUUCCAGCAGUGGGAGACCACGACCACCGACUCUUUGGCCACCUCUUCAACCCACACCCCAGACUCAAGUAGAAGCAAGAACUGCACAUGUGGAUUAGCAAAAGGUAUAACUAGCAAACAGGAGUUUGAGUAUUAAGUAAUGAAAAAGUUAUGCAACAUGUAACCAGUGAGUGCUAAUGCCUUUGUUUGAUAAAGUGUAUAAAUAGUGUAAAAUUUUGGUGAUUGGGGAGCCAGCUCUUUGUGGGUAACCUGGCUCCCUACUUUGUGCAAUAUAGAAUGAAAAACAGAAAUGUCUUGUCUCAGUGUGUGAAUUGGUGCUGCCCACCAGGUAACAAGCUGGUUCAUCUUGUUACCCAGGAGAACAGCACUACCUGAAUAACUGAAUCAUUUCACUUUGAGGAGCUGAUUGCUUUUAACAUAGUCUUCAAAAGCUAAAAAUCUUCUCUACUCUUCAGCCAGGCUCUUCUCU